RNAcentral lists this small RNA (86 nucleotides) under Epilithonimonas arachidiradicis. RNAcentral's name for it is "Chryseobacterium arachidiradicis Flavo-1 RNA". It matches the Rfam family "Flavo-1 RNA". The record is from RNAcentral. Lineage: Bacteria; Pseudomonadati; Bacteroidota; Flavobacteriia; Flavobacteriales; Weeksellaceae.
UAAUAGCCCCGAUUGUAGUGGAAAUCCUUUUUCUUUUCUUUCACAUAAGGAAAAGAAAAAGAUUGUAACGGAAAGCGGGAAAUAGC